RNAcentral lists this ribosomal RNA (484 nucleotides) under uncultured bacterium. RNAcentral's name for it is "partial 16S ribosomal RNA". It matches the Rfam family "Bacterial small subunit ribosomal RNA", at positions 36 to 507 of the family's 1533-position model. The record is from RNAcentral.
CUUUCCCUCUUUCUUCAGGCUUAACACAUGCAAGUCGAGCGGAAAAAGGGAGCUUGCUCCUGGAUCCAGCGGCGCACGGGUGAGUAUUGCCUAGGAAUCUGCUUCGUAGUGGGGGGUAACGACUGGAAACGGGCGCUACUAAUGCCUACGUCCUGCUGGAGCUAGUGGGGGAUCUUCGGACCUCUUGCUCUCAGAUGAGCCUAGGUCGGUCUAGCUAGUUUGUUGGGUAAAGGCCUACCUAGGCGAGGAUUCGUAAGUGGUCUGCGUGGAUGAUCAGUCACACUAGAACUGAGACACGGUCCAGAGUCCUACGAGAGGGAGCAGUGUGGUAUAGUAGACAAUAGUCGAAAGCCUGGCCCAGCCAUGCCGCGUGUGUGAAGAAAGUCUUCGGAUUGGAAAGCACGUUAAGUUGGUAGGAAGGGCAGUAAGUUAAUACCUUGCUGUUGUGACGGUACCAGCAGAAUAAGCACCGGCUAACUUCGUG